This 137-nucleotide non-coding RNA is filed under the name uncultured eukaryote. The record is from RNAcentral.
CGGAUGCCUCGGCGCCAUCCUCCUCCUCGUGGAUGGUUGAUUUUGGAGACAAUGCCACAACCAAACUAAGACUGGGUGGGCGUCAUGCAGUCACCCCUGACCCGAAAACCCUCGUGGUAGGGCUGAGCAGAGGCGAC